AACGCGAAGAACCUUACCCAGACUUGACAUGCAGAGGACGAUAUCAGAAAUGAUAUUUCCCUUCGGGGCUUCUGCACAGGUGCUGCAUGGCUGUCGUCAGCUCGUGCCGUGAGGUGUUGGGUUAAGUCCCGCAACGAGCGCAACCCUUAUCAUUAGUUGCCAACACGUAAUGGUGGGAACUCUAAUGAGACUGCCUGGGUUAACCAGGAGGAAGGUGAGGAUGACGUCAAGUCCGCAUGGCCCUUAUGUCUGGGGCUACACACGUGCUACAAUGGUCGGUACAGAAGGCAGCGAAACUGUGAAGUGAAGCAAAUCCCAAAAGCCGGCCCCAGUUCAGAUUGUAGUCUGCAACUCGACUACAUGAAGAUGGAAUUGCUAGUAAUGGCGAGUCAGCAACAUCGCCGUGAAUACGUUCCCGGGCCUUGUACACACCGGUAUCUC
RNAcentral lists this ribosomal RNA (441 nucleotides) under uncultured bacterium. RNAcentral's name for it is "bacterial SSU rRNA". It matches the Rfam family "Bacterial small subunit ribosomal RNA", at positions 958 to 1400 of the family's 1533-position model. The record is from RNAcentral.